AGCUAACGCGGGGCGGCCGCCGCGGCGGGGGCAAGAUUUGUCCUUCCUGCGGCUGCGAACCCACCGCGGGUUUGCGUAUUUCCCUUGAUUCCUGGAGGACAGAGCUGGGAUGGACUUGACCCAAGACUCAGGGAUGACGAAAGGGAAAUAAACAGAGUAACGUAGUACUGGAUAAUCUUUCUGAUUUACGAACUAUGAUUUACUCAUCUUCAAUUUGAGGGGCCGCUUUUAGGGGGUUGAGACCUUGCACAACUCCCAGUCUGGCUCUACCUGGCUGGGGGCAUCUUUAACCCGUUCUACGCCGGAGCGGCAUCGAAUACACCUGGAUUCAGAAUC
RNAcentral lists this long non-coding RNA (336 nucleotides) under Homo sapiens (human). RNAcentral describes it as "non-protein coding lnc-CDKN2A-2:1". The record is from RNAcentral. Lineage: Eukaryota; Metazoa; Chordata; Mammalia; Primates; Hominidae.